This 2231-nucleotide long non-coding RNA is filed under the name Panax ginseng (ginseng). RNAcentral's name for it is "long non-coding RNA (PGIN_LNC009924)". Lineage: Eukaryota; Viridiplantae; Streptophyta; Magnoliopsida; Apiales; Araliaceae. The record is from RNAcentral.
UUAUUCGGGACUUAAGGCGAUCUUGGGUUGUUUACGGCGAAGGUCGGGCGAUUAAAAGCGGAGCAAGAAAAAUAAAAGUUUGAAAAAACAUUUAAGUAAACAAAUCAAACUGUUUUCAAUCGAAACCACUGAUAGCAUCAAGAACCAACCGUGUGGCUCUGAUACCAUAUAACAGCGAGAUAAGUUUUUAAAAGAAAAACUUAAAUAGAAAAAGAAAAGAUUAAGAAGAUGACCGGUGAAUCGAUAAAGUAAUCUCUUUCUUUUAUUUAUAAACAUUUGAGGAAUGGAUUACAUUAAUUCCUAGACUAAAUGUUUAAGGGGGAAGAUCGAAGUAUUAAGGACUUCGUCUUCAUCUUUAACUAAGAAGGUCGAAGCUGAAAGCUUCGUCUCCGACUAACUCUAGAGAGAAGGGAGAGGACCUCGGAAGAGCUUUCUAGAGAGAGAAGCUCUGAGGCUACAUUGAAUUAAGCCUAAACAACUCUAAACACUUCGAGUUGUUUAAAUAUAAAACUAAAAAGUAAAUUACUAUUUGAUUCACGCAGGAAUCCCUAUUACAUUAACUGAAGUAAAAGUAAUUUACUAAAGUAAAAGUAAAACGUAAGAAAUAUUUUACAUUUACUUUUACAUUGGUAAAUGUAAGAAACAUUGAACUAAAGUUAAAAAUAUUUAACUUAAGUAAAAGCAAAAGUUAUUCUUUUACUUUUACUUUUACAUUUACUAAAGUAAAAGACUUUUGCUUUACGGAAAGUAAAAGCUGAGAUGAUGGCUGGGCCAUCACCUGUCUGUGACUUGAAGAUGCCUCUGGCGUCUUCUUCGUUGACUGGUCCGUCUCCUGUGGAUACCGGAAGGUGCUAUUGAUCAUCUUCUCAGAUGAGUCACCAUCCCCAUACAUUUCCACCUUAAAAAUUUUAUCCAGGAAAUAACCCUUUCACCCCCAAAAAUUUGGUUUAUAAAGAAGGAGGAAAAAAAAAAUUCUACCGAAAAUUGGUCAAAAUCUUCAAAAUUUUUUAGAUUUUGUAAAAAAAUUUUAUUUAAAAACAAAUCAGACAGAAAUCUAAAACAAAGGAUCACUCGAUUGGUCCUGAUCUAUCAGUAAAUCGAUUUAAAUAGAAGACAUAUUUGUUAACUGUUUAAACAAAAAUUCUUUCUCUUGAAGGUCCACUUAGACUCAAACCUUACUUGCCUUGAACACAUACCCGUAGAUCUAAAUAUUCCCUUUAGCCUUACACUGCUCCCAAUUGAGACUUACAAACGGAAUUAUUCGGGACUUAAGGCGAUCUUGGGUGGUUUACGGCGAAGGUCGGGCGAUUAAAAGCGGAGCAAGAAAAAUAAAAGUUUGAAAAAAUAUUUAAGUAAACAAAUAAAAUUGUUUUCAAUCGAAACCACUGAUAGCAUCAAGAGCCAACCGUGUGGCUUUGAUACCAUAUAACAGUGGGAUAAGUUUUUAAAAGAAAAACUUAAACAGAAAAAGAAAAGAUUAAGAAGAUGACCGGUGAAUCGAUAAAGUAAUAUCUUUCUUUUAUUUAUAAACAUUUGAGGAAGGGAUUACAUUAAUUCCUAGACUAAAUAUUUAAGGGGGAAGAUCGAAGUAUUAAGGACUUCGUCUUCAUCUUUAACUAAGAAGGUCGAAGCUGAAAGCUUCGUCUCCGGCUAACUCUAGAGAGAAGGGAGAGGACUUCGGAAGAGCUUUCUAGAGAGAGAAGCUCUGAGGCUACAUUGAAUUAAGCCUAAACAACUCUAAACACUUCGAGUUGUUUAAAUAGAAAACUGAGAAGUAAAUUACUAUUUGAUUCACGCAGGAAUCACUAUUACAUUAACUGAAGUAAAAGUAAUUUACUAAAGUAAAAAUAAAACGUAAGAAACAUUUUACAUUUACUUUUACAUUGGUAAAUGUAAGAAACAUUUAACUAAAGGUAAAAACAUUUAACUUAAGUAAAAGCAAAAGUUAUUCUUUUACUUUUACUUUUAUAUUUGCAAAAGUAAAAGACUUUUGCUUUACGGAAAGCAAAAGCUGAGAUGAUGGCUGGGCCAUCACCUGUCUGUGAAUUAAAGAUGCCUCUGGCGUCUUCUUCGUUGACUGGUCCGUCUCCUGUGGAUGCCGGAAGGUGCUAUUAAUCAUCUUCUCAGAUGAGUCACCAUCCCCAUAUAUUUCCACCUUAAAAUUUUUAUCUAGGAAAUAACCCUUUCACCCCCAAAAAUUUGGUUUAUAAAGAAGGAGGAAAAAAAAAAUU